This 603-nucleotide ribosomal RNA is filed under the name uncultured fungus. RNAcentral's name for it is "eukaryotic LSU rRNA". It matches the Rfam family "Eukaryotic large subunit ribosomal RNA", at positions 23 to 641 of the family's 3401-position model. The record is from RNAcentral. Lineage: Eukaryota; Fungi.
ACCCGCUGAACUUAAGCAUAUCAAUAAGCGGAGGAAAAGAAACCAACAGGGAUUGCCCUAGUAACGGCGGGUGAAGCGGCAACAGCUCAAAUUUGAAAUCUGGCUCUUUUAGAGUCCGAGUUGUAAUUUGCAGAGGGCGCUUUGGCUUUGGCAGCGGUCCAAGUUCCUUGGAACAGGACGUCACAGAGGGUGAGAAUCCCGUACGUGGUCGCUGGCUAUUGCCGUGUAAAGCCCCUUCGACGAGUCGAGUUGUUUGGGAAUGCAGCUCUAAAUGGGAGGUACAUUUCUUCUAAAGCUAAAUAUUGGCCAGAGACCGAUAGCGCACAAGUAGAGUGAUCGAAAGAUGAAAAGCACUUUGGAAAGAGAGUCAAACAGCACGUGAAAUUGUUGAAAGGGAAGCGCUUGCAGCCAGACUUGCUUACAGUUGCUCAUCCGGGUUUCUACCCGGUGCACUCUUCUGUAGGCAGGCCAGCAUCAGUUUGGGCGGUAGGAUAAAGGUCUCUGUCACGUACCUCCUUUCGGGGAGGCCUUAUAGGGGAGACGACAUACUACCAGCCUGGACUGAGGUCCGCGCAUCUGCUAGGAUGCUGGCGUAAUGGCUGU